CAAAAAUUUUCCCUUUUGCAAUUCACAAUGAAUCACAUUCAGCAAAGGUCAUUUCCUUAUUUCGUUUUUUUGUCCCUUCUAUGGGACAACUUAUGCACAACGAGCAAAGUUUAGGGCUAUUUAUGAUUGGGCAUUGUAACCUGUUCUACUACUUACUUACAGUCAAUAGUGGAAUAUAGUCCAAGAGUGAUUGAGAAGUCAUCCAUGCAAUGCAAAGAGUGUUAGAACGUUGAAUUGACUUUGCAUGAACAGUGCAGAUUGCAGUGCAGAUUGCUCCUACCCUGCAAUUUGUCAUAUUAUACCCUGUUGUUUUACGUUUUAAUUUGAGGGAUUGCCAAUUGGCCAUCCAUUUGUCUGGAACUUAAG
RNAcentral lists this unclassified non-coding RNA (366 nucleotides) under Hevea brasiliensis (rubber tree). The record is from RNAcentral. Lineage: Eukaryota; Viridiplantae; Streptophyta; Magnoliopsida; Malpighiales; Euphorbiaceae.